This 108-nucleotide small nuclear RNA is filed under the name Pan troglodytes (chimpanzee). Lineage: Eukaryota; Metazoa; Chordata; Mammalia; Primates; Hominidae. The record is from RNAcentral.
GUACAUGCACAUAUACAAAAAAAUGGAACAAUAAAGAGAAGAUUAGCAUGGCCCCUGUGCAAGGAUGACACACAAAUUUGUGAAGCAUUCCUUUUUUUUUUUUUUUUU